This 752-nucleotide ribosomal RNA is filed under the name Dothideomycetes sp. genotype 686 JMUR-2016. RNAcentral describes it as "eukaryotic LSU rRNA". The stretch from base 169 to 752 matches the Rfam family "Eukaryotic large subunit ribosomal RNA", at positions 1 to 584 of the family's 3401-position model. The record is from RNAcentral. Lineage: Eukaryota; Fungi; Ascomycota; Dothideomycetes.
GAGCGUCAUUUCAAAAUUCAAGCUCAGCUUGGUGAUGGGCGUCUGUCCCGCCUCCGCGCGCGGACUCGCCUCAAAAGUAGUUGGCAGCUCCCUUAUCGGCACUGAACGCAGCAAAUUUGCGGGACGCACCGAAGAAAGGGGCUUACCAGUAAGCAAACCACCCCAGAUUGACCUCGGAUCAGGUAGGGAUACCCGCUGAACUUAAGCAUAUCAAUAAGCGGAGGAAAAGAAACCAACAGGGAUUGCCCUAGUAACGGCGAGUGAAGCGGCAACAGCUCAAAUUUGAAAUCUGGCCCCCCCUCGGGGGUCCGAGUUGUAAUUUGCAGAGGGUGCUUUGGCGUUGGCUGUGGUCUAAGUUCCUUGGAACAGGACGUCGCAGAGGGUGAGAAUCCCGUAUGUGGCCGCCAGUCUUCGCCGUGUAAAGCCCCUUCGACGAGUCGAGUUGUUUGGGAAUGCAGCUCUAAAUGGGAGGUAAAUUUCUUCUAAAGCUAAAUAUCUGCCAGAGACCGAUAGCGCACAAGUAGAGUGAUCGAAAGAUGAAAAGCACUUUGGAAAGAGAGUCAAAAAGCACGUGAAAUUGUUGAAAGGGAAGCGCUUGCAGUUAGACGUGCCUCUAGUUGCUCAGCCGGGCCUUCGGGCCCGGUGCACUCUUCUAUUGGCAGGCCAGCAUCAGUCUGGGCGGUCGGAUAAAGGCCCAUUAAACGUGACUCCCUCCGGGGAGAGCUUAUAGGGUGGGCGACAUGCGACCAGCC